GAGAGAGAGGGUGGGGGGGAGGGCUCAGCUGACGUCCUGACGCGUACAAUACACGUCACGCAGGAUCGCAGACGCAGUAAUCAUUAUUGAUGUCCCACGUGGAAACAGUGAAGGUAACCACAAUGACUACCACCCCCACCCCCCUCUCCAUCACCACCAGCACCACCACCACCGCCACCACCCAGAGAGAGAUGGAUGAAGUCAGCAUUGCCUCUGACUUCAGCAUUAUUCCAGAGAGCAUGGUCGAGAUAGAGGGAGCGGCAGGGGGGGGCCACUGUCCAACCCGCACUGUGUCGACUGGGAGUUUCCUUCACUCAGAGGAUCUCCAGCCCUCACUGUCCGCCCUGGAGACACACGCCAAGGUAAGCUUCUCGAACAUCCACCCAACGUACUGCAGUGACACAGACGUAGCAGUGACCUACAGUUUGACCCCUGCCGUGAUCCCGAGGUCGUCUGACAGAGUAGGCCUAUAUAGGGUAGGCUUCACCUCCCCCCAGGAGUACCUAAGCUACCAGUGGGCCCCAGCACCCCCCCAGGACCUCCAGCCUGGCCUUGCUCCCUCUCUAACUGUGGUUUUUAGAGCUCCCAGUUUGCCCAAAGAAAUUGAUGAAUUCUACCAGUUUUGCUACGUGACUCAUGAAGGGCAGAUAGCGGGGGUCAGCGCCCCCUUCCAGCUGGUAGGGGUGAGUGCGGCAAGCGAUGUGUGCGGUGUUGAGGAGGACGGCAUGGUGGUGGUGCGUUCUGGCGAGAGUGUUUUGCACCAGAGAAUUAAUGAGCUGGUGGUGAUGAAGGACAAGCUGGUGGGAGAGUGUGAGGUGGUGAGAGGAGAGAGAGAGGAGAUGAGUAAACAGCUGGAGGAGAAGACACAGCAGCUCAACAUGUGUCAACACCACCUGCAGGCCAUCGAAGUGAAGAUGAAGAGGGUGACGGCAGAGAAGUGUGAGCUGAUGGGCCGCGUGGGACAGGUGGUGGAGGACAAGGGCCAUCUGGAGGACCGCUUGAAGACACUGGACCGAUCCAUCACUGCCGAGAGGACCAGGGCGGACACGGCGGAGGCAAAGGUCAAGGAGUUGGAGGAGGCGACCUUGACCUCACGCAAAUCCCUGGAGAAGACCAUCCACUCCCUCAGGGCCACAGAAGACCAGCUCUCACUCACCAAGGAGGCUCUAAAGGCGACCAAGGCGGAGCUGCAGGAGGAGCAGGCGGGCCGGGAGAAGGCGGUCCAUGAGUUGGCCAUAUGGACGGACACUGCCCAGGCCGACCUUUCCGAGAAGAACUCACUCACUGCUAAGUUCAACAGUGUUAGUGCAGAGCUGACAGCCAAGAUGGAGGAGAUGGAGGCAACUCGUAGGAAAGUCUUCUCACUGGAGGAAAAACUGAAGGAGGCUCUGGAGGAACUGGAGGGGGUGAAGGGUGCGCAGGAGAGUGCAGAGACAAAGGUGGCAGCAUUGGAGAGGGAGAAAGCGGUGUUGACAGAGAGACAGGAGGCUCUGGGACUGGACAACACCAGGCUGCAGGCUGCCAACACCGCCCUCAAGGAACAUGUGUCUGCCUUGCAACACCAGCAGGAGAGGGAGAUGAAGGGCAGGGAGGCCGCUGAAACUAUAGCCAGCGAUCUGAGUGGGCGUCUUCAGGCAGCUCGGACAGAGUACACCACGCUGGCUGUCAUCAAUAAGAGACUCAUGCGGAAAUUGAAGAAGAUGAGGAGUAGGAUGGAGAGCACACCAGGAGGCAGCAACACCAAUAAAGCAGGGAAUGAUAGUGUUAUGACAACCUCAAUCACAACAACCUCGUCUUGGCUUCAAUUGGAGGAGGAGGAGGAGGUGGAGGAGGAGGGUGAGAGGGUGGAGGAGGAAGCCCCAUCUGUCCUCUCCCAGUCCUGCCUCUCACAGCCUCUCACAGCCUCCUGUUGUUCUCACAGCACGCAGCAACUUAGCGAGGUAGUGAAUAAGAAGAUGGAAGAUAUUGUGAAGGAACUUUCACAGCAAAUUCUGUCUUUGAAGUGCCAGCUGGAGGAGAAGGAGAGGAGGAGUGAGGAGAAGAAGGAAGAGGAAGAGGAGGAGGAGGAGGACACACCACAGCACGCCACAGGAACAGCCACAGAUUCUCCACCGCAAGUUCUGUAUUCAAAUUCCUUCUUGAAAACUGCGACCACAGCACCCGUCUUCCUGCCAGAGGGCCUCAACACCACAGCCGCAGCCACCACCACACCACACAGCACCACAAACACCACACACAGCACCACAGAAACCACCACCACCACCACAAACACCACACAGCGCGUCAACUACCACUACCAGAUCGCCACACCACCACAGCCUACCACAGCCGGAUUUCUACCACCACCACUGCUGCCUGAGACCACCAGCACAGCACGCCACGCUGCGGUGAUGGGUCAGUUUGCCACAGCGCCCACAGCACCACCACACGAUUCUGAUGAUGAUGAUUUUCACAGCACAGACAGUGAUUCAUCUCCUGCUGUGACGUUGACCUCUGCUGUGACCUCUGCUGCUGUGCUAGGCCCCCACCCCCCUCCUGUGACCUCCCAGCCACAGCCACUGCCUCAGAAUUUGCCACAGUUAAGCAGUGACAACAGCAUGGACCCCCCCUCCCACAGCACCCCGUCCCUCUCGGUGGUCCAGUGCCCCCUCUGCAGCCUUGUGUUCCCUCAGGAGUCGGCCAGACUGCUGGAGGAACAUGUCAACUCUCACCUGGAGCAUGUUUGUCCUGUAUGCUCCAAAGUGUUCCAGAGAAAUUGCCAGGAGAGGUUCCAAGCACAUGUCCAGGAGCAUUUCAAGGAGGAGGAGGAGGAGGAGGAGGAGAGGAGGCUGGAGGAGGAGGAUUCGUCAGGCCCCUGGGGGAGACACCUCAGGAACGCCCACCUGCUGGAGAUUGACUGAAGAGAGAGAGAGAGAGGGGCAAGGGAGGGGGAGAGAGAGAGAGAGAGAGAGAGAGUGGCGAGGGAGGGGAAAGAGAGAUAGAGAAUGAGAGAGAGGGUUGUUUUAAAGUGUGUGUGUGAGAGAGAGAGAGAGAGAGAGAGAGAGAGAGAGGGGUUGUAAAGGGCUGUGAUGAAUAAAGAGAAAGAGAGAGAGAGAGAAUUUAAUCUAUAUAUAUUCAAUAGACAUACAAAUUUAUAUACAAUAGCAAUAGUCUUGGUAGUAUUAGAGGCAUUUAUGAUGUGUGUGUGUGUGUGUGUGUGUGUAGAGGCACACACACACACACACACACACACACACACACACACACACACACACACACAAAAGAGGUCAGUAACGUAUAUUGUUAAGCACUGUAGCGAGAGAGAGAGAGAGAGAGAGAGAGAGAGAGAGAGAGAGAGAGAGAGAGAGAGAGAGAGAGAGAGAGAGAGAGAGAAAAGGAGGACAAACAUCCAAGAACACAAACAAGGCUGUGUGUGUUAAUUAAAAUAUUUUAAUUACCUUAUAUUUACUUAAUGGCAUUUCUUGGGUCAAUAAAUAUACCAUUAUCA
Molecule: unclassified non-coding RNA, 3487 nt
Filed under: Portunus trituberculatus (swimming crab)
Lineage: Eukaryota; Metazoa; Arthropoda; Malacostraca; Decapoda; Portunidae
Description: tax1-binding protein 1 homolog, transcript variant X4
Source: RNAcentral